RNAcentral lists this ribosomal RNA (460 nucleotides) under uncultured bacterium. Its description in RNAcentral is "partial 16S ribosomal RNA". It matches the Rfam family "Bacterial small subunit ribosomal RNA", at positions 376 to 795 of the family's 1533-position model. The record is from RNAcentral.
CCUCCCUUGUUCCUCCUUUCUUCCUCUUUUUCCCUUUCCUGCCGUCUGCCCCCGCCAUGCCGCGUGCAGGAAGACGGCUCUAUGAGUUGUAAACUGCUUUUGUACAAGGGUAAACCUGAAUACGUGUAUUCAGCUGAAAGUACUGUACGAAUAAGGAUCGGCUAACUCCGUGCCAGCAGCCGCGGUAAUACGGAGGAUCCAAGCGUUAUCCGGAUUUAUUGGGUUUAAAGGGUGCGUAGGCGGAUUGAUAAGUGAGAGGUGAAAUGUCCGAGCUUAACUCGGGAACUGCCUCUAAUACUGUUGAUCUAGAGAGUAGAUGCGGUAGGCGGAAUGUAUGGUGUAGCGGUGAAAUGCUUAGAGAUCAUACAGAACACCGAUUGCGAAGGCAGCUUACCAAUCUAUAUCUGACGUUGAGGCACGAAAGCGUGGGGAGCAAACAGGAUUAGAUACCCCUGUAGUC